This 229-nucleotide long non-coding RNA is filed under the name Elaeis guineensis (African oil palm). RNAcentral's name for it is "long non-coding RNA (EGUI_LNC055045)". The record is from RNAcentral. Lineage: Eukaryota; Viridiplantae; Streptophyta; Magnoliopsida; Arecales; Arecaceae.
AUGUCAUGUAUAUGAGUAGGAAGAUCACUAAAAAAAGUUCUAUUGUAUUAUCCAUGCGAUUGGCUUGUAGGACAUUAUUUUUUCAUCAGGUUCUAGUUGUAGUCUCUGUGUCUCUUCCUCUCCUGUCUUUUUCUUCCCUUUCUCAUUCUCUCUUCUUGCCUUCCCUCUCAAUCCUUCCUCGCCUUUCUAUUUAUUAAUUUGAUGUGCUGGCAUAUUUUCCAACACGGAC